This 174-nucleotide unclassified non-coding RNA is filed under the name uncultured Glomerella. RNAcentral describes it as "sequence contains ITS1". The record is from RNAcentral. Lineage: Eukaryota; Fungi; Ascomycota; Sordariomycetes; Glomerellales; Glomerellaceae.
UCGAGUUACCGCUCCUUAUAACCCUUUGUGAACAUACCUCAAACGUUGCCUCGGCGGGCAGCCGGAGCCCAGCUCCGGCGCCCGGAGCCGCCUUCUCGGCGCGCCCCACCCGCCGGCGGACCACUAAACUCUAUUGCAACGACGUCUCUUCUGAGUGGUACAAGCAAAUAAUCA